CGGAACGGGUGAGUAACGCGUGAGGAACCUGCCUCAAAGAGGGGGACAACAGUUGGAAACGACUGCUAAUACCGCAUAAGCCCACGGCUCGGCAUCGAGCAGAGGGAAAAGGAGAGAUCCGCUUUGAGAUGGCCUCGCGUCCGAUUAGCUAGUUGGUGAGGUAACGGCCCACCAAGGCGACGAUCGGUAGCCGGACUGAGAGGUUGAACGGCCACAUUGGGACUGAGACACGGCCCAG
Molecule: ribosomal RNA, 238 nt
Filed under: uncultured bacterium
Lineage: Bacteria
Description: partial 16S ribosomal RNA
Rfam family: Bacterial small subunit ribosomal RNA
Source: RNAcentral